RNAcentral lists this ribosomal RNA (828 nucleotides) under Cenangium ferruginosum. Its description in RNAcentral is "LSU rRNA". It matches the Rfam family "Eukaryotic large subunit ribosomal RNA", at positions 77 to 922 of the family's 3401-position model. Lineage: Eukaryota; Fungi; Ascomycota; Leotiomycetes; Helotiales; Cenangiaceae. The record is from RNAcentral.
GCCUCAGUAACGGCGAGUGAAGCGGCAAGAGCUCAAAUUUGAAAUCUGGCUCCUUCGGGGCCCGAGUUGUAAUUUGUAGAAGAUGCUUCGGGUGUGGCUCCGGUCUAAGUUCCUUGGAACAGGACGUCAUAGAGGGUGAGAAUCCCGUAUGUGACUGGAUGCCUACGCCCGUGUGAAGCUCUUUCGACGAGUCGAGUUGUUUGGGAAUGCAGCUCAAAAUGGGUGGUAAAUUUCAUCUAAAGCUAAAUACUGGCCAGAGACCGAUAGCGCACAAGUAGAGUGAUCGAAAGAUGAAAAGCACUUUGGAAAGAGAGUUAAACAGUACGUGAAAUUGUUGAAAGGGAAGCGCUUGCAAUCAGACUUGCGCCCGGGCGAUCAUCUGGGGUUCUCCCCAGGGCACUCGUCCGGGCUCAGGCCAGCAUCAGUUCUCGUGGUGGGAUAAAGGUCCUGGGAAUGUGGCCCCUCUCGGGGGGUGUUAUAGCCCAGGGCGCCAUGCCGCCUACGGGGACUGAGGACCGCGCUUCGGCUAGGAUGCUGGCGUAAUGGUUGUAAGCGACCCGUCUUGAAACACGGACCAAGGAGUCUAACAUCUAUGCGAGUGUUUGGGUGCUAAACCCAUGCGCGGAAUGAAAGUGAACGGAGGUGAGAACCCGUCAGGGCGCAUCAUCGACCGAUCCUGAUGUCUUCGGAUGGAUUUGAGUAAGAGCAUAGCUGUUGGGACCCGAAAGAUGGUGAACUAUGCGUGAAUAGGGUGAAGCCAGAGGAAACUCUGGUGGAGGCUCGCAGCGGUUCUGACGUGCAAAUCGAUCGUCAAAUUUGCGUAUAGGG